RNAcentral lists this ribosomal RNA (281 nucleotides) under uncultured bacterium. RNAcentral's name for it is "partial 16S ribosomal RNA". It matches the Rfam family "Bacterial small subunit ribosomal RNA", at positions 29 to 309 of the family's 1533-position model. The record is from RNAcentral.
AACGAACGCUGGCGGCGUGGAUAAGACAUGCAAGUCGCGCGGAACAUUGCUGGUAGCAAUAUUAGCAAUGUUUAGCGGCAAACGGGUGCGUAACACGUAGCUCACCUACCUUCGAGUGGGGAUAACUCCGAGAAAUCGGAAUUAAUACCGCAUGUGGUUGUAAGACCAAAGCCGGGGACCGUAAGGCCUGGCGCUUGAAGAUGGGGCUGCGGCCUAUCAGCUAGUUGGCGGGUAACGGCCACCAAGCGAUGACGGUAGCUGGUCUGAGAGGACGACCAGCC